AGUCGGACUAGCCAAAAUCUGAUCGCGUACUGAGUCGAGAUCAUUAGGAAGCCCAGCAAGAGUAAGAACUAGAAACAACUUUUGUUGUUGCUCUUGCUACUUUGCAACACUAGCAGAAACUGGCAUCAACGUCUCAAAUUCCUCCAUAGCUGCCUGUACCUGUCCCAAGUAAGUAGACAUAUCUAAUUCCUGUUUCUUUAAAUUUGUCAUCCGCGAUAUCACAUCAUAGAAACGAGAUAUGUCAUUAGUGUAUAANNNN
Molecule: long non-coding RNA, 259 nt
Filed under: Nicotiana benthamiana
Lineage: Eukaryota; Viridiplantae; Streptophyta; Magnoliopsida; Solanales; Solanaceae
Description: long non-coding RNA (NBEN_LNC030262)
Source: RNAcentral